UGGCUUAGAAGCAGCCACUCAUUAAAAGAGUGCGUAAUAGCUCACUGGUCGAGUGGCUCUGCGCCGAAAAUUUAACGGGGCUAAACCAUACACCGAAGCUUGGGAUGUACGAAGUACAUGGUAGGAGAGCGUUGAAUGCGGGAAGAAGUCAUAGCGAAAGCGGUGGUGGACUGCAUUGAAGUGAGAAUGCCGGAAUGAGUAGCGAGAUUUAUGUGAGAAUCAUAAAGGCCGAAUGACUAAGGAUUCAGAAGGAAGGUUCGUCCGCUUCUGGUUAGCCGGGAGCUAAGGUGAGGCCGAGAGGCGUAGCCGAUGCACAUACGGUGGAGAUUCCGUAGCCGUCGAAAGACAGAGGGACACUUUGGAAGCGUUGUUGCCGGGCGAUGGUCGCCCCGGUCGAAAGGGACCGAAGACAAGUAGGGAAGAACAGCGUGGACAGAGGCAAGAAAAGCUCUGUGAAUUAAAAGGCGCCCGUACCGCAAACCGACACAGGUAGUCAGGAAGAGAAUUCUAAGGCCAACGGGAGAAGGGUAGUUAAGGAACUCGGCAAAUUGACCCCGUAACUUCGGAAUAAGGGGUGCUCCUGAGAAGGAGCCGCAGUGAAAAGGUCCAGGCGACUGUUUAUCAAAAACACAGGUCUCUGCUAAAUCGAAAGAUGAAGUAUAGGGGCUGACACCUGCCCGGUGCUGGAAGGUUAAGAGGAGAGGUGCAAGCUUUGAAUCGAAGCCCCAGUAAACGGCGGCCGUAACUAUAACGGUCCUAAGGUAGCGAAAUUCCUUGUCGGGUAAGUUCCGACCCGCACGAAUGGUGUAACGAUCUGGACACUGUCUCAACUGCCCACCCGGCGAAAUUGUAGUACCGGUGAAGAUGCCGGUUACCCGCGGCAAGACGGAAAGACCCCAUGGAGCUUUACUGUAGCCUAAUAUUGGGUUUUGGUAUUUUAUGUACAGGAUAGGCGGGAGACUAUGAAACCGAGACGCUAGUUUCGGCGGAGUCACCCUUGGGAUACCGCUCUUAGAGUACCGGAAUUCUAACCUGCGGCCAUGAAUCUGGUCGGGGGACAUUGUUAGGUGGGCAGUUUGACUGGGGCGGUCGCCUCCAAAAGAGUAACGGAGGCGCUCAAAGGUUAGCUCAGCACGGACGGAAACCGUGCCUCUGAGUGCAAACGCAAAAGCUAGCCUAACUGCGAGGCUGACGGGCCGAGCAGUAACGAAAGUUGGAGUUAGUGAUCCGGCGGUAUGUGAAUGGAAAUGC
This 1251-nucleotide ribosomal RNA is filed under the name human gut metagenome. RNAcentral's name for it is "bacterial LSU rRNA". It matches the Rfam family "Bacterial large subunit ribosomal RNA", at positions 1102 to 2442 of the family's 2925-position model. The record is from RNAcentral.